RNAcentral lists this ribosomal RNA (497 nucleotides) under uncultured bacterium. Its description in RNAcentral is "partial 16S ribosomal RNA". It matches the Rfam family "Bacterial small subunit ribosomal RNA", at positions 29 to 507 of the family's 1533-position model. The record is from RNAcentral.
ACGAACGCUGGCGGCGUGCCUCAUACAUGCAAGUCGAACGAGAGCAACCGGUGCUUGCACUGGUCAAUCUAGUGGCGAACGGGUGAGUAACACGUGGGUAACCUGCCCAUCAGAGGGGGAUAACAUCCGGAAACGGAUGCUAAAACCGCAUAGGUCUUCGAACCGCAUGGUUUGAAGAGGAAAAGAGGCGCAAGCUUCUGCUGAUGGAUGGACCCGCGGUGCAUUAGCUAGUUGGUGAGGUAACGGCUCACCAAGGCCGUGAUGCAUAGCCGACCUGAGAGGGUGAUCGGCCACAUUGGGACUGAGACACGGCCCAAACUCCUACGGGAGGCAGCAGUAGGGAAUCUUCCGCAAUGGACGCAAGUCUGACGGAGCAACGCCGCGUGAGUGAAGAAGGUUUUCGGAUCGUAAAACUCUGUUGUUAGAGAAGAACAAGUGCUAGAGUAACUGUUAGCGCCUUGACGGUAUCUAACCAGAAAGCCACGGCUAACUACGUG